RNAcentral lists this ribosomal RNA (253 nucleotides) under uncultured bacterium. RNAcentral describes it as "partial 16S ribosomal RNA". It matches the Rfam family "Bacterial small subunit ribosomal RNA", at positions 524 to 776 of the family's 1533-position model. The record is from RNAcentral.
UACGUAGGGUGCAAGCGUUGUCCGGAAUUAUUGGGCGUAAAGAGCUCGUAGGCGGUCUGUUGCGUCGGCUGUGAAAACCCGGGGCUCAACUCCGGGCCUGCAGCCGAUACGGGCAGACUAGAGUUCGGCAGGGGAGACUGGAAUUCCUGGUGUAGCGGUGAAAUGCACAGAUAUCAGGAGGAACACCGGUGGCGAAGGCGGGUCUCUGGGCCGAUACUGACGCUGAGGAGCGAAAGCGUGGGGAGCGAACAGG